AGUGAACGCCGGCGGUAGGCCUAACACAUGCAAGUCGAACGGCAGCACAGGAGAGCUUGCUCUCUGGGUGGCGAGUGGCGGACGGGUGAGGAAUACAUCGGAAUCUACUCUGUCGUGGGGGAUAACGUAGGGAAACUUACGCUAAUACCGCAUACGACCUACGGGUGAAAGCAGGGGAUCUUCGGACCUUGCGCGAUUGAAUGAGCCGAUGUCGGAUUAGCUAGUUGGCGGGGUAAAGGCCCACCAAGGCGACGAUCCGUAGCUGGUCGGAGAGGAUGAUCAGCCACACUGGAACUGAGACACGGUCCAGACUCCUACGGGAGGCAGCAGUGGGGAUUAUUGGACAAUGGGCGCAAGCCUGAUCCAGCCAUACCGCGUGGGUGAAGAAGGCCUUCGGGUUGUAAAGCCCUUUUGUUGGGAAAGAAAUCCAGCUGGCUAAUACCCGGUUGGGAUGACGGUACCCAAAGAAUAAGCACCGGCUAACUUCGUGCCAGCAGCCGCGGUAA
RNAcentral lists this ribosomal RNA (506 nucleotides) under uncultured bacterium. RNAcentral describes it as "partial 16S ribosomal RNA". It matches the Rfam family "Bacterial small subunit ribosomal RNA", at positions 29 to 523 of the family's 1533-position model. The record is from RNAcentral.